GCGAACGCUGGCGGCAGGCCUCACACCUGCAAGUCGAACGAACUCUUCGGAGUUAGUGGCGGACGGGUGAGUAACACGUGGGAACGUGCCUUUUGGUUCGGAAUAACUCAGGGAAACUUGUGCUAAUACCGAAUGUGCCCUUCGGGGGAAAGAUUUAUCGCCAUUAGAGCGGCCCGCGUCUGAUUAGCUAGUUGGUGAGGUAACGGCUCACCAAGGCGACGAUCAGUAGCUGGUCUGAGAGGAUGACCAGCCACACUGGGACUGAGACACGGCCCAGACUCCUACGGGAGGCAGCAGUGGGGAAUCUUGCGCAAUGGGCGAAAGCCUGACGCAGCCAUGCCGCGUGAAUGAUGAAGGUCUUAGGAUUGUAAAAUUCUUUCACCGGGGACGAUAAUGACGGUACCCGGAGAAGAAGCCCCGGCUAACUUCGUG
This 432-nucleotide ribosomal RNA is filed under the name uncultured bacterium. RNAcentral's name for it is "partial 16S ribosomal RNA". It matches the Rfam family "Bacterial small subunit ribosomal RNA", at positions 29 to 507 of the family's 1533-position model. The record is from RNAcentral.